Small nuclear RNA from Oncorhynchus kisutch (coho salmon), 162 nucleotides. Its record names the gene U1. It matches the Rfam family "U1 spliceosomal RNA". Rfam says of the family: U1 is a small nuclear RNA (snRNA) component of the spliceosome (involved in pre-mRNA splicing). Lineage: Eukaryota; Metazoa; Chordata; Actinopteri; Salmoniformes; Salmonidae. The record is from Ensembl.
AUACUUACUGUACCUGGCAGACACCUUGAUCACGAAUGAGGUUCACCUAGGGCGAGUCUCAGCCAUUGUACUCCGGCCAUGCUGACCCCUGCGAAUUCCCCAAAUGUGGGAAUCUCGACAGUAAUUUGUGGUAGUGGGGGACUGCGUCCACGCUCUCCCAUG